Molecule: ribosomal RNA, 527 nt
Filed under: uncultured bacterium
Lineage: Bacteria
Description: bacterial SSU rRNA
Rfam family: Bacterial small subunit ribosomal RNA
Source: RNAcentral
AAUAGAUACCCUGGUAGUCCAUGCCGUAAACGAUGAUUACUAAGUGUUGGAGGGUUUCCGCCCUUCAGUGCUGCAGCUAACGCAUUAAGUAAUCCGCCUGGGGAGUACGACCGCAAGGUUGAAACUCAAAAGAAUUGACGGGGGCCCGCACAAGCGGUGGAGCAUGUGGUUUAAUUCGAAGCUACGCGAAGAACCUUACCAGGUCUUGACAUCUUCUGCCAACCUAAGAGAUUAGGCGUUCCCUUCGGGGACAGAAUGACAGGUGGUGCAUGGUUGUCGUCAGCUCGUGUCGUGAGAUGUUGGGUUAAGUCCCGCAACGAGCGCAACCCUUAUUACUAGUUGCCAGCAUUUAGUUGGGCACUCUAGUGAGACUGCCGGUGACAAACCGGAGGAAGAUGGGGACGACGUCAAAUCAUCAUGCCCCUUAUGACCUGGGCUACACACGUGCUACAAUGGAUGGUACAACGAGUUGCGAAACCGCGAGGUUUAGCUAAUCUCUUAAAACCAUUCUCAGUUCGGACUGUAGG